Molecule: transfer RNA, 72 nt
Filed under: Bradyrhizobium lupini
Lineage: Bacteria; Pseudomonadati; Pseudomonadota; Alphaproteobacteria; Hyphomicrobiales; Nitrobacteraceae
Description: tRNA-Thr
Source: RNAcentral
UUGUAGCUCAGUGGUAGAGAGGCUGACCUGUAAUCAGUGUAUUGCCGGUUCGAGUCGGGCGCCAGCAAGCCA